This 258-nucleotide ribosomal RNA is filed under the name uncultured bacterium. Its description in RNAcentral is "partial 16S ribosomal RNA". It matches the Rfam family "Bacterial small subunit ribosomal RNA", at positions 524 to 776 of the family's 1533-position model. The record is from RNAcentral.
UACGGGGGGAGGCAAGCGUUGUUCGGAUUUACUGGGCGUAAAGGGGCGCGUAGGCGGUCGUGACAAGUCACUUGUGAAAUCGUCCGGGCUUAACUCGGAACGGUCAAGUGAUACUGUCGGACUAGAGUACAGAAGGGGCAACUGGAAUUCUCGGGUGUAGCGGUGAAAAUGCGUAGAUAUCGAGAGGAACACCUGCGGCGAAGGCGGGUUGCUGGGCUGAUACUGACGCUGAGGCGCGAAAGCCAGGGAGCGAACGGG